AUUGAACGCUGGCGGCAGGCUUAACACAUGCAAGUCGAACGGUAACAUGAAGAAGCUUGCUUCUUUGAUGACGAGUGGCGGACGGGUGAGUAAUGCUUGGGAAUCUAGCUUAUGGAGGGGGAUAACUACGGGAAACUGUAGCUAAUACCGCGUAGAAUCGAGAGAUGAAAGUGUGGGACCUUCGGGCCACAUGCCAUAGGAUGAGCCCAAGUGGGAUUAGGUAGUUGGUGAGGUAAAGGCUCACCAAGCCGACGAUCUCCAGCUGGUCUGAGAGGAUGACCAGCCACACUGGGACUGAGACACGGCCCAGACUCCUACGGGAGGCAGCAGUGGGGAAUAUUGCGCAAUGGGGGCAACCCUGACGCAUGCCAUGCCGCGUGAAUGAAGAAGGCCUUCGGGUUGUAAAGUUCUUUCGGUAGCGAGGAAGGCAUUUAGUUU
RNAcentral lists this ribosomal RNA (438 nucleotides) under Terrahaemophilus aromaticivorans. RNAcentral describes it as "bacterial SSU rRNA". It matches the Rfam family "Bacterial small subunit ribosomal RNA", at positions 30 to 461 of the family's 1533-position model. The record is from RNAcentral. Lineage: Bacteria; Pseudomonadati; Pseudomonadota; Gammaproteobacteria; Pasteurellales; Pasteurellaceae.